This 521-nucleotide ribosomal RNA is filed under the name Salmonella enterica subsp. enterica serovar Derby. RNAcentral's name for it is "partial 23S ribosomal RNA". It matches the Rfam family "Bacterial large subunit ribosomal RNA", at positions 1 to 559 of the family's 2925-position model. The record is from RNAcentral. Lineage: Bacteria; Pseudomonadati; Pseudomonadota; Gammaproteobacteria; Enterobacterales; Enterobacteriaceae. RNAcentral also lists the same sequence under 6 other names.
GAGGUUAAGCGACUAAGCGUACACGGUGGAUGCCCUGGCAGUCAGAGGCGAUGAAGGGCGUGCUAAUCUGCGAUAAGCGCCGGUAAGGUGAUAUGAACCGUUAUAACCGGCGAUACCCGAAUGGGGAAACCCAGUGUGAUUCGUCACACUAUCAUUAACUGAAUCCAUAGGUUAAUGAGGCGAACCGGGGGAACUGAAACAUCUAAGUACCCCGAGGAAAAGAAAUCAACCGAGAUUCCCCCAGUAGCGGCGAGCGAACGGGGAGGAGCCCAGAGCCUGAAUCAGCAUGUGUGUUAGUGGAAGCGUCUGGAAAGGCGCGCGAUACAGGGUGACAGCCCCGUACACAAAAGCGCAUGUGCUGUGAGCUCGAUGAGUAGGGCGGGACACGUGGUAUCCUGUCUGAAUAUGGGGGGACCAUCCUCCAAGGCUAAAUACUCCUGACUGACCGAUAGUGAACCAGUACCGUGAGGGAAAGGCGAAAAGAACCCCGGCGAGGGGAGUGAAAAAGAACCUGAAACCGU